Molecule: long non-coding RNA, 1132 nt
Organism: Daphnia pulicaria
Lineage: Eukaryota; Metazoa; Arthropoda; Branchiopoda; Diplostraca; Daphniidae
Exons: 7
Source: RefSeq, a predicted model, not a curated record
CUGCAUUCGUCAAUUCCACUGGAUCAAUUGAAAGGGUCGGAAUCUUAGAUGUUGUUCUGGCAUGUAUCGCCAAAGCGUUAACAAUCCAAGUAAAAAGUAAAGGACGUGAUAAAGACGUCUAGUAAAAAUCCCAUUUCUUCUGUGACGAUGGCUAGUAUCUUCAACAACCGACAGCGACCUCAGCGUCAACUUGGAUCUCGCUGGUGGAUGAGAAGCCACAUGCCACGUCGUGUAAGCAUUAUCCAGCUCGUUAGAGAUAUGACAUCGGGUAAUUUGUCUGAAGUAUGGACUGCUGUAACGAAAGCAGGCAUUACGGAAGCUGUCCUUGCGCUUACAAAUUGGAUGAAGAUCGCCGCAGUUCCCUGGAUUGCUUGCAAACACCAUCUGUGUGGUUGACGUUGGCUGCCCUUUGCCUACUGCAAGACGAGCACGUCGAACGUCUCUCAUCAACACAGUGGGAUCGCGGAGCAGUGAACAAACCGCAGUGUAACAAUGACGACGACGGGGAAACAGGGGCACAAAUUGUCUGUUCCGACUGCGGGCCGCUUUGUAUUGAUUGCGAUCGAGUUCUGCAUCUUUCACGCAAAUUUCGCUCCAAUCAGCGUCAGGUUUGCAAAGAGGAAGAAGAAGUUAUCAAAGUCGAUGUUCACGAGGGAUGUGGUCGCGUUAAAUUAUUUUGGAUUUUAGCGCUUUCUGACGCCAGGAACCUCAAGUCUUUGGUUGAGUUUCCGUCUCUUCCGUCUACGUCACUGCCGCUAUACGAACGAAAGUGGAAAUUAUCACGGCUCCUUGAUUGGCGGCGUCGGGGCCUCCUCUUCUUGUCGCUAUUGUAGUUCGGCUAUAUCUCCGUCAUCUGCUUCGUUGUUUGACAAUCAAACAAUCAAUGUGUGCAGCGAACCAGAUUGCGUCGAAUAUUCACGAAAUGCGUGUCUAAAAACGCUCGGUUGUGGCCACCCUUGCGGGGGAGUGCGUGGUGAAUCAGAAUGCCUUCCCUGUUUGUUUCGUUGUUCUGGCAGUUCAGCAAAUCUUAAGCAAGACACCGACGACAUGUGCGUGAUCUGCUUCACCGAAGCUCUGUCUGCUGCACCAGCCAUACAGCUAAGUUGCAAACACGUCUUCCAUGCCCAUUGCU